AGUGAACGCUGGCGGUAGGCCUAACACAUGCAAGUCGAACGGCAGCACAGUAAGAGCUUGCUCUUACGGGUGGCGAGUGGCGGACGGGUGAGGAAUACAUCGGAAUCUACUUUUUCGUGGGGGAUAACGUAGGGAAACUUACGCUAAUACCGCAUACGACCUACGGGUGAAAGCAGGGGAUCUUCGGACCUUGCGCGAUUGAAUGAGCCGAUGUCGGAUUAGCUAGUUGACGGGGUAAAGGCCCACCAAGGCGACGAUCCGUAGCUGGUCUGAGAGGAUGAUCAGCCACACUGGAACUGAGACACGGUCCAGACUCCUACGGGAGGCAGCAGUGGGGAAUAUUGGACAAUGGGCGCAAGCCUGAUCCAGCCAUACCGCGUGGGUGAAGAAGGCCUUCGGGUUGUAAAGCCCUUUUGUUGGGAAAGAAAAGCAGCAGGUUAAUACCCCGCUGUUCUGACGGUACCCAAAGAAUAAGCGCCGGCUAACUUCGUG
Molecule: ribosomal RNA, 492 nt
Filed under: uncultured bacterium
Lineage: Bacteria
Description: partial 16S ribosomal RNA
Rfam family: Bacterial small subunit ribosomal RNA
Source: RNAcentral